UACGGAGGGUGCAAGCGUUGCUCGGAAUUAUUGGGCGUAAAGGGCAGGUAGGUGGUCUCGUUUGUCUGGGGUGAAAGCCUUGAGCUUAACUCAAGAAGUGCCCCAGAAACGGCGAGACUAGAGUUCUGGAGAGGGUCGUGGAAUUCCCGGUGUAGCGGUGAAAUGCGUAGAGAUCGGGAGGAACACCAGAGGCGAAGGCGGCGACCUGGACAGACACUGACACUCAACUGCGAAAGCGUGGGGAGCAAACAGG
RNAcentral lists this ribosomal RNA (253 nucleotides) under uncultured bacterium. Its description in RNAcentral is "partial 16S ribosomal RNA". It matches the Rfam family "Bacterial small subunit ribosomal RNA", at positions 524 to 776 of the family's 1533-position model. The record is from RNAcentral.